CAGGACUGCUGUGCUGUGUGUGAUGUAAUUCUUUCCCCUGGCCCUCACACCCUCUUUCUAAAAACCCGACUGAUUACAAGUGUUGUUAAAAGUUACUGAACUAGAAAAACAAACCACACUGUGGCUGUUGUGUCACUAAUUACAGAUGGUACUGUGUUGGGAACAAUUGUUCUGGUACCUCCAUGUUUCUCUGACGCGCCAUCAAAAAGUGGGCUGUUUCUCUUUGGCCAUUCAUAAGAAAGGAUUACUGACAAUCUAGAAACUUCUAUCAGCUUUCUUUUCUAUCCCGAACUAAUAUGAAACCAUUUCUCAAGUAUCAGCUUUUCAACAAAAGUCUUCAGUGCAUGACCUUGUGUCAUGAAAACCAGUGCAGCAGAUUGGAUCCUGAGGUCUCUCGGUGCUGUAAAUCACACCAUUAAAUCUGCCAUGAGCAACAGAGGCUGUUGGAAAGAAGAGAAAGAAAACGUGGUGAUGAAUCUCAGUUUCUGAUACACGCCGGAUGCUGAUGACACAGAAACAUUGCCUGGAAUCUGGCCAGUCUGAGUGCUACGGUCGGGGGAAAGUUGAAAAUUCUAGACCAUUUAAAUUAUUUUGGCCUUAUAAUCUACCGAGCUCUUUGAGGAUAAUGAUUAUGUGUUUUAUCACCAUAACCGCUGGCUCAAGAAAGAUUUCUUAUAUAUGGAAUUUUCUCAGAAAAUACGUGUUCCUGUUGGUAUAUUUUACUUCCUGAAAAGAUAAGUCCUUCAAGGAAGCCCUACUUUUCUAAGCCAGCCCUGCAACUGGAUACUGCACCAUUGCAAACACUAUGGCACAUCGACCGACAGUGAUUUUUCUCUGGAUGGAGACUUAACAGGAGUUGUGCUGGACUCUGGUUGAUGACUUUUAUGAAGACACUGGAUACAUGAAAUUCAAAACAAGAAGAAA
This 924-nucleotide long non-coding RNA is filed under the name Capra hircus (goat). RNAcentral's name for it is "lncRNA (ENSCHIG00000004182.1)". Lineage: Eukaryota; Metazoa; Chordata; Mammalia; Artiodactyla; Bovidae. The record is from RNAcentral.